CCCACAAGGAUUUGCGUGUCACCACGAAGAAACGAGUUAAGAAAAUUACUGUUGAGAACGCUUCAUUAGCAGAAGAACAAAGAUGGGUAGUGGCUGAGGAACAAGGAGCUAAAGUAGUUCGUCAAAUGUUGCUAUAAAGAUCUUGAAGUUGAUGUAUUAUUAGAGACUUGUAUGGUCGUUAGGUCGUUAGGUAUAUGGAGCUUGCACGCGGAGAAGCUGGUCGUUGUGGGGCUUGGAUCGUGACUAUCUUGUUAAACACUUUGAUAUUUAAUACUUAUUUACUAUGGGAUUUCUAAUAAUACGCUUCCGCUAAACAAUGAUAUCUUACUAUGUUUUAGAAACACCUUUCAUAUGGAUUUGGUUUGGUUUAUAUU
This 374-nucleotide long non-coding RNA is filed under the name Helianthus annuus (common sunflower). Its description in RNAcentral is "sRNA HanXRQr2_Chr10g0430901". The record is from RNAcentral. Lineage: Eukaryota; Viridiplantae; Streptophyta; Magnoliopsida; Asterales; Asteraceae.